UCGCAUCCUGGGGCUGGAGCAGGUCCCAAGGGUUUGACUGUUCGUCAAUUAAAGCGGUACGCGAGCUGGGUUCAGAACGUCGUGAGACAGUUCGGUCCAUAUCCGGUGUAGGCGUUAGAAUAUUGAGAGGAGCCUUCUUUAGUACGAGAGGACCGAGAAGGACGUACCUCUGGUGUACCAGUUAUCGUGCCAACGGUAAACGCUGGGUAGCUAUGUAUGGAGUGGAUAACCGCUGAAAGCAUCUAAGUGGGAAGCCCACCUCAAGAUAAGUAUUCUCAUCACGUAAGUGAGUAAGGUCACGGUAAGACUAACCGUUUAAUAGGCAUUAAGUAUAAAUAUAGUAAUAUAUGAGCUGAGAUGUGCUAACAGACCGAG
This 375-nucleotide ribosomal RNA is filed under the name Pseudo-nitzschia fraudulenta. Its description in RNAcentral is "partial Bacterial large subunit ribosomal RNA". It matches the Rfam family "Bacterial large subunit ribosomal RNA", at positions 2540 to 2913 of the family's 2925-position model. The record is from RNAcentral. Lineage: Eukaryota; Bacillariophyta; Bacillariophyceae; Bacillariales; Bacillariaceae.